RNAcentral lists this ribosomal RNA (497 nucleotides) under uncultured bacterium. RNAcentral describes it as "partial 16S ribosomal RNA". It matches the Rfam family "Bacterial small subunit ribosomal RNA", at positions 28 to 507 of the family's 1533-position model. The record is from RNAcentral.
GAUGAACGCUGGCGGCGUGCCUAAUACAUGCAAGUCGAGCGAACGGACGAGAAGCUUGCUUCUCUGAUGUUAGCGGCGGACGGGUGAGUAACACGUGGAUAACCUACCUAUAAGACUGGGAUCACUUCGGGAAACCGGAGAUUAUACCGGAUAAUAUUUUGAACCGCAUGGUUCAAAAGUGAAAGUCGGUCUUGCUGUAACUUAUAGAUGGAUCCGCGCUGCAUUAGCUAGUUGGUAAGGUAACGGCUUACCAAGGCGACGAUGCAUGGCCGACCGGAGAGGAUGAUCGGCCACCUUGGAGCGGAGACACGGUCCAGACUACUACGGGAGGCAGCAGUAGGGAAUCGUCCGCAAUGGGCGAAAGCCUGACGGAGCAACGCCGCGUGAGUGAUGAAGGUCUUGGGAUCGUAAUGCUCUGUUAUUGGGGAAGAACAUAUGUGUAAGUAACUGUAGACUUCUUGACGGUACCGAGUCAGAAAGCCACGGCUAACUACGUG